Molecule: ribosomal RNA, 428 nt
Filed under: uncultured bacterium
Lineage: Bacteria
Description: partial 16S ribosomal RNA
Rfam family: Bacterial small subunit ribosomal RNA
Source: RNAcentral
GUGGGGAAUAUUGGGCAAUGGGGGCAACCCUGACCCAGCAACGCCGCGUGAGGGAAGAAGGUUUUCGGAUUGUAAACCUCUGUCCUAUGGGAAGAAGGAAGUGACGGUACCAUAGGAGGAAGCCCCGGCUAACUACGUGCCAGCAGCCGCGGUAAUACGUAGGGGGCGCGCGUUGUCCGGAAUUACUGGGCGUAAUGGGUGCGCAGGUGGCCUGACAAGUCAGAUGUGAAAUACCGAUGCUUAACGUCGGGGCUGCAUUUGAAACUAUGAGGCUGGAGUGCAGGAGAGGGAAGCGUAAUUCCUAGUGUAGCGGUGAAAUGCAUAGAUGUUAGGAGGAACACCAGUGGCGAAGGCGGCUUUCUGGACUGUAACUGACACUGAGGCACGAAAGCGUGGGGAGCAAACAGGAUUAGAUACCCUGGUAGUCC